GACGAACGCUGGCGGCGUGCUUAACACAUGCAAGUCGAACGCUGAACCCGCUUCGGUGGGGGUUUAGUGGCGGACGGGUGCGUAACACGUGGGCAACCUGCCCCCGGCUCUGGGAUAACUCCAAGAACUUGGGGCUAAUACCGGUUGUGACCGCUGGCCGCAUGGUCUGGUGGUGGAAAGGGUUUCCGGCUGGGGAUGGGCCCGCGGCCUAUCAGCUUGUUGGUGGGGUAGUGGCCUACCAAGGCGACGACGGGUAGCCGGCCUGAGAGGGUGACCGGCCACACGGGGACUGAGAGAGGGAGCAGACGGCAACGGGAGGCAGCGGUGGGAAGUAUGACGCAGUAAGCGGGAGCCUGACACAAAGACGCCGCGUGGGGGAUGACGGCCUUCGGGUUGAAAACAUCUGUCAGCGGAGACGAAGCGCAAGUGACGGUACCUACAGAAGAAGCACCGGCCAACUACGUG
This 465-nucleotide ribosomal RNA is filed under the name uncultured bacterium. RNAcentral describes it as "partial 16S ribosomal RNA". It matches the Rfam family "Bacterial small subunit ribosomal RNA", at positions 28 to 507 of the family's 1533-position model. The record is from RNAcentral.